This 81-nucleotide transfer RNA is filed under the name Treponema sp. RNAcentral describes it as "tRNA-Leu". It matches the Rfam family "tRNA". From Rfam's summary of the family: Transfer RNA (tRNA) molecules are approximately 80 nucleotides in length. Their secondary structure includes four short double-helical elements and three loops (D, anti-codon, and T loops). The record is from RNAcentral. RNAcentral also lists the same sequence under 1 other name. Lineage: Bacteria; Pseudomonadati; Spirochaetota; Spirochaetia; Treponematales; Treponemataceae.
GCCCACGUGGUGCAAUGGUAGACACGGCUGACUUAGGAUCAGUUGCCAUUCGGUAUGGAGGUUCGAGUCCUCUCGGGGGCA